AGAGAUUGACUGUACCAUUCAAGAAAGCCACGGCUAACUACGUGCCAGCAGCCGCGGUAAUACGUAGGUGGCGAGCGUUAUCCGGAAUGAUUGGGCGUAAAGGGUGCGCAGGCGGUCCUGCAAGUCUGGAGUGAAACGCAUGAGCUCAACUCAUGCAUGGCUUUGGAAACUGGAGGACUGGAGAGCAGGAGAGGGCGGUGGAACUCCAUGUGUAGCGGUAAAAUGCGUAGAUAUAUGGAAGAACACCAGUGGCGAAGGCGGCCGCCUGGCCUGUUGCUGACGCUGAGGCACGAAAGCGUGGGGAGCAAAUAGG
RNAcentral lists this ribosomal RNA (313 nucleotides) under uncultured bacterium. RNAcentral's name for it is "bacterial SSU rRNA". It matches the Rfam family "Bacterial small subunit ribosomal RNA", at positions 464 to 776 of the family's 1533-position model. The record is from RNAcentral.